GAUGAACGCUGGCGGCGUGCCUAAUACAUGCAAGUCGAGCGAACAGACGCGGAGCUUGCUCCUUCGACGUUAGCGGCGGACGGGUGAGUAACACGUAGGUAACCUACCUAUAAGACUGGGAUAACUCCGGGAAACCGGAGCUAAUACCGGAUAAUAUUUCGAACCACAUGGUUCGAUAGUGAAAGAUGGCUUUGCUAUCACUUAUAGAUGGACCUGCGCCGUAUUAGCUAGUUGGUAAGGUAACGGCUUACCAAGGCAACGAUACGUAGCCGACCUGAGAGGGUGAUCGGCCACACUGGAACUGAGACACGGUCCAGACUCCUACGGGAGGCAGCAGUAGGGAACCUUCCGCAAUGGGCGAAAGCCUGACGGAGCAACGCCGCGUGAGUGAUGAAGGUCUUCGGAUCGUAAAACUCUGUUAUUAGGGAAGAACAAACGUGUAAGUAACUGUGCACGUCUUGACGGUACCUAAUCAGAAAGCCACGGCUAACUACGUG
Molecule: ribosomal RNA, 497 nt
Filed under: uncultured bacterium
Lineage: Bacteria
Description: partial 16S ribosomal RNA
Rfam family: Bacterial small subunit ribosomal RNA
Source: RNAcentral